CUCGUUGGCUGAAGGACAGUGACCUGACUCCCUGCUGCUGGCUCUACUCCUGUCGCUCUCACAGAACUAGCACCCUAAUGGGAAGGGACAAACACAUAACCGAGAUACAGGGUCCACGGACAGCAACACUGGAAUACUCUCCUGGAACACUCACUCUUAGGGCUGAUUUCUGCCCGAGAGUGAUUCACGCUGCAGUGACUAAGGGCUAAAUUGUGUGGCUCUGACUCCAAACACUAAAGCAGUCUGCGGGGCAGGAGAGACGAGCGGAGAUGCUACAGGGGAGGUGGUGAAGGACAUGACUCAGGGCCAGAAGGGUCUUCGGGACACAGGUGGGACUGCUCAGCCAGGACACCACAGGCAAAAGCAAUUGCGAAAGAGCACAGACAUGGCAGAGGGCAGACGUGAAGGAUGACCCCAUAGUGUGGCGUUCUUCCAACAUGCAAGUGGCCCGGCAGGCUCCGGGGUGAGGCUUAGCUGUGCUACUUAACUCUCCAAGCAAUUUCCAGAUGAACAGGGCCUUACAGAGGAAAAAUAUAAGCACAGCCUUCCCCAAAACGUAUUUAAUGAGAUCGUGUUUUUAUAAAUAUUAAACUGAUAAAUUUUAGUCUUG
RNAcentral lists this long non-coding RNA (610 nucleotides) under Fukomys damarensis (Damara mole-rat). Its description in RNAcentral is "lncRNA (ENSFDAG00000033058.1)". Lineage: Eukaryota; Metazoa; Chordata; Mammalia; Rodentia; Bathyergidae. The record is from RNAcentral.